GAUCUUUAUUUUUAUUUUUUAUAAAUUAAAAAGAAUAUAAAUUUUUAUAAUAAAAUUAAAAAUUUUACUGGGGUGGUAUUAAAAUUUAAUAAACUUUUAUAUUUAUUUUACAUAAAUAUAUGAAUAAUUGAUCCAAUUAUAUUGAUUAAAAAAUUAAGUUACCUUAGGGAUAACAGCGUAAUUUUUUUUUAGAGUUCAUAUCGACAAAAAAGAUUGC
This 217-nucleotide ribosomal RNA is filed under the name Trichoprosopon sp. stH. RNAcentral describes it as "partial 16S ribosomal RNA". Lineage: Eukaryota; Metazoa; Arthropoda; Insecta; Diptera; Culicidae. The record is from RNAcentral.